AUUGAACGCUGGCGGCAUGCUUUACACAUGCAAGUCGAACGGCAGCGCGGGCUUCGGCCUGGCGGCGAGUGGCGAACGGGUGAGUAAUGCAUUGGAACGUGCCCAGUAGUGGGGGAUAGCCCGGCGAAAGCCGGAUUAAUACCGCAUACGACCUGAGGGUGAAAGCGGGGGACCGAAAGGCCUCGCGCUAUUGGAGCGGCCGAUGUCGGAUUAGCUAGUUGGUGGGGUAAAGGCUUACCAAGGCGACGGUCCGUAGCUGGUCUGAGAGGACGACCAGCCACACUGGGACUGAGACACGGCCCAGACUCCUACGGGAGGCAGCAGUGGGGAAUUUUGGACAAUGGGGGCAACCCUGAUCCAGCCAUGCCGCGUGCGGGAAGAAGGCCUUCGGGUUGUAAACCGCUUUUGUUCGGGAAGAAAUCCUCUGGGCUAAUACCCCGGGGGGAUGACGGUACCGGAAGAAUAAGCACCGGCUAACUACGUG
RNAcentral lists this ribosomal RNA (484 nucleotides) under uncultured bacterium. Its description in RNAcentral is "partial 16S ribosomal RNA". It matches the Rfam family "Bacterial small subunit ribosomal RNA", at positions 28 to 507 of the family's 1533-position model. The record is from RNAcentral.